Molecule: non-coding RNA, 68 nt
Organism: Phrynosoma platyrhinos (Desert horned lizard)
Lineage: Eukaryota; Metazoa; Chordata; Lepidosauria; Squamata; Phrynosomatidae
Source: the annotation of a GenBank genome assembly
GCAUGGAGUAGUGGUUUAAGCAGCAGACUAUGACUCUGGAGACCAGGAUUCAAAUCCCUGCCUAAGCC